GGUUUCAAAGUAGAAUUUUAAGCCUGGGAUAGGGUUUCUUUCAUUCCAGAGUUAGGGUUGGAAAGUACGGGACACUUGGGCUUUAGAGUAGGGCAAUGGUUAUGGUUUCAAGUGUGAGUAAGUCAAGUCAAUAACAGUUAGGGUUUUAGAGUAGGGUCUCAAGACAUGGUUAGGGUGUGAAGGUAAGCUUUUGAAGCUGGGGAUAAGGUUUCAAAGAAGGGUUGGAACAAAUCUUUUGAAAAAAAAUGACCCCUCUCCCAA
Molecule: long non-coding RNA, 261 nt
Organism: Hippocampus zosterae (dwarf seahorse)
Lineage: Eukaryota; Metazoa; Chordata; Actinopteri; Syngnathiformes; Syngnathidae
Exons: 2
Source: RefSeq, a predicted model, not a curated record